CCGACCGUUAUCUGAACUCCCUGCACGCGUGGUAUGCCUCCACAGAGGUGGGACUGCUAAAGACCUUGCUCAGCCGGAAGAGGAGUGAAACUCAGGGGUGAAGGCUGGACUUUUGAGCAGUCUGCUUACCUUGUGAUCCCAUGCCCACCCAGCCAGUUCUGCCUCUGUGACCUCUGGGAAGGAGCAUCCCCAAGAAAUAUCUGGCCAGUCACAGACCCAGUUAGACCUGGACCAGAAAGCAGACGUGUUGAACCCCUGUGAUCGCCUAGGACUGUGACUCACCCAUAACUGAGAGUAUGAGAUCAAAGUCCCACCCUGCUGUUUACCAGCUGGGUCACCAUAAACAAGUCUCCAAGCCUAGAUUUCUUCAUCUAGCAAGGAGAGGGUUGAACUGAUGGCAUUCCACUUCUAGUUCUAACACUCUGAGAGCCAAAAAUCCAUGGAGGAAGAAGAACCUCACAGGCAGAAAGCUGGACAUGGGGCAGUCAAGGCAUUGCCAAGUAAGAGAUACUUACAGAUGCCAGGAUCACUGCAGGUGAGGGUCCCAUCUUCAGGGACCAGGUGGGAGUUGUACCUCUGGUUGGGCAGCACCUCUGUCAUCUCUCCUGCCCGCUGCCUCUCCCCCAUCUUGGUCUUCAGGAAGAUCCCAAAACCAACAUCCGCUCCAUCUGACAUAAACUGCCAUCUGCAGGGGACAUCACCAGUUUAUAACAUAAUUCUGUCUGUGUGUGCCCUCUCCGGGGUCCUGGCACCAGAGCUCGUCCUAUCCCAGCCCACCUAUCAGGACCUAUAGAUGAAAGCUCGGGUCUCCUGGAAGGGCCCAGGCCCCUACCUGAGGACACAGCCAGGGAAGAGGAUCUCAUACUCCACUUGGUGGGAGGAGCCACGGGAAAUCUGCACGCUGUGUUCAUACUGCUGUUUCACCUGGUCUCUCACAUAAUACUUCUUGGGGAUGUCACCCCCAUAGUUGAUCUAGAAGCAUGGCAUGGAGUGAACUGGAAUAUGCAUUUGAGCCAGGCAUCCCUGUUCACCUCCAGCCUCUGGUGGCUCAUACCUUGGAUUUGCACUUGGGGUUUCCAUCAGGGUCAGUCAUGGUGCCCCCAUACUCCACAGGCACCUGGUCAGGGCUGAUAUGUUUCAGUAAAACCUCCUUCCAAUUUGCUGGCAGGAGAGGGAAGGAAGGAUAGAGAUGUAUCUCAACACUAGGUAAGAUUUCACCAUAACCCUAGUGAUGUACACUGAAGAGGCAGAAAAAACCCAUUUAUCGCACCCC
Molecule: long non-coding RNA, 1273 nt
Organism: Rhinopithecus roxellana (golden snub-nosed monkey)
Lineage: Eukaryota; Metazoa; Chordata; Mammalia; Primates; Cercopithecidae
Exons: 2
Source: RefSeq, a predicted model, not a curated record